CUUGCUGAGAGGUGAGGGUGCCCGAAAGGGAGCCGUAACACAGGUGCUGCAUGGCUGUCGUCAGCUCGUGUCGUGAGAUGUUGGGUUAAGUCCCGCAACGAGCGCAACCCUUGUCCCUAGUUGCUACGCAAGAGCACUCUAGGGAGACUGCCGGUGACAAACCGGAGGAAGGUGGGGAUGACGUCAAGUCCUCAUGGCCCUUAUGGGUAGGGCUUCACACGUCAUACAAUGGUCGGAACAGAGGGUUGCCAAGCCGCGAGGUGGAGCCAAUCCCA
RNAcentral lists this ribosomal RNA (275 nucleotides) under Burkholderia sp. GM55. Its description in RNAcentral is "partial 16S ribosomal RNA". It matches the Rfam family "Bacterial small subunit ribosomal RNA", at positions 997 to 1276 of the family's 1533-position model. The record is from RNAcentral. Lineage: Bacteria; Pseudomonadati; Pseudomonadota; Betaproteobacteria; Burkholderiales; Burkholderiaceae.